This 468-nucleotide ribosomal RNA is filed under the name uncultured bacterium. RNAcentral's name for it is "partial 16S ribosomal RNA". It matches the Rfam family "Bacterial small subunit ribosomal RNA", at positions 28 to 507 of the family's 1533-position model. The record is from RNAcentral.
GACGAACGCUGGCGGCGUGCUUAACACAUGCAAGUCGAACGGAAAGGCCCUGCUUUUGUGGGGUGCUCGAGUGGCGAACGGGUGAGUAACACGUGAGUAACCUGCCCUUGACUUUGGGAUAACUUCAGGAAACUGGGGCUAAUACCGCAUAGGAGCUCCUGCUGCAUGGUGGGGGUUGGAAAGUUUCGGCGGUUGGGGAUGGACUCGCGGCUUAUCAGCUUGUUGGUGGGGUAGUGGCUUACCAAGGCUUUGACGGGUAGCCGGCCUGAGAGGGUGACCGGCCACAUUGGGACUGAGAUACGGACCAGACUCCUACGGGAGGCAGCAGUGGGGAAUAUUGCACAAUGGGCGGAAGCCUGAUGCAGCAACGCCGGGUGCGUGAAGACGGCCUUCGGGUUGUAAACCGAUUUCGCCUGUGACGAAGCGUGAGUGACGGUAAUGGGUAAAGAAGCACCGGCUAACUACGUG